This 483-nucleotide ribosomal RNA is filed under the name uncultured bacterium. RNAcentral's name for it is "partial 16S ribosomal RNA". It matches the Rfam family "Bacterial small subunit ribosomal RNA", at positions 30 to 507 of the family's 1533-position model. The record is from RNAcentral.
AUUGAACGCUGGCGGCAGGCCUAACACAUGCAAGUCGAGCGGAUGAAGGGAGCUUGCUCCUGGAUUCAGCGGCGGACGGGUGAGUAAUGCCUAGGAAUCUGCCUGGUAGUGGGGGAUAACGUCCGGAAACGGGCGCUAAUACCGCAUACGUCCUGAGGGAGAAAGUGGGGGAUCUUCGGACCUCACGCUAUCAGAUGAGCCUAGGUCGGAUUAGCUAGUUGGUGGGGUAAAGGCCUACCAAGGCGACGAUCCGUAACUGGUCUGAGAGGAUGAUCAGUCACACUGGAACUGAGACACGGCCCAGACUCCUACGGGAGGCAGCAGUGGGGAAUAUUGGACAAUGGGCGAAAGCCUGAUCCAGCCAUGCCGCGUGUGUGAAGAAGGUCUUCGGAUUGUAAAGCACUUUAAGUUGGGAGGAAGGGCAGUAAGUUAAUACCUUCUGUUUUGACGUUACCAACAGAAUAAGCACCGGCUAACUUCGUG